CCCGCUGAACUUAAGCAUAUCAAUAAGCGGAGGAAAAGAAACUAACAAGGAUUCCCCUAGUAACUGCGAGUGAAGCGGGAAAAGCUCAAAUUUAAAAUCUGGUGGUCUUUGGCCAUCCGAGUUGUAAUUUAGAGAAGCGUCUUCCGCGCUGGACCGUGCACAAGUCUCCUGGAACGGAGCGUCGUAGAGGGUGAGAAUCCCGUCUUUGGCAUGGACACACCAGGGCUUUUGCUAUGCGCUCUCGAAGAGUCGAGUUGUUUGGGAAUGCAGCUCUAAAAUAGGUGGAGUACUCCCUCUAAAGCUAAAUAUUGGCGAGAGACCGAUAGCGAACAAGUACCGUGAGGGAAAGAUGAAAAGCACUUUGGAAAGAGAGUGACACAGUACGUGAAAUUGUUGAAAGGGAAACGCUUGAAGUCAGUCGCGUCUUCCGAGACUCAGCCUCGCCUCGGCUUGGCGUACUUCUCGGCCCGCCGGGUCAGCAUCAAUUUCGCCUCUCGGAUAAUGGCGAGGGAAAAGUGACACCUGUUGCGGUGUGUUAGUAGUCCCUCGUACGCAUGCGAGGGUGGGGAUUGAGGAACUCAGCACGCGCCCUCGGGCGUCGGGGUUUUCGCCCACGAUACGUGCUUCGGAUGUUGGCGUAAUGGCUUUAAACGACCCGUCUUGAAACACGG
RNAcentral lists this ribosomal RNA (671 nucleotides) under uncultured fungus. Its description in RNAcentral is "eukaryotic LSU rRNA". It matches the Rfam family "Eukaryotic large subunit ribosomal RNA", at positions 24 to 664 of the family's 3401-position model. The record is from RNAcentral. Lineage: Eukaryota; Fungi.